This 1717-nucleotide ribosomal RNA is filed under the name Geminocystis sp. PltCNmn3. RNAcentral's name for it is "bacterial SSU rRNA". The stretch from base 1 to 1371 matches the Rfam family "Bacterial small subunit ribosomal RNA". Lineage: Bacteria; Bacillati; Cyanobacteriota; Cyanophyceae; Chroococcales; Geminocystaceae. The record is from RNAcentral.
CCUUGAGGUCGGGGACAACAGUUGGAAACGACUGCUAAUACCGGAUGAGCUGAGAAGUAAAAGAUUUAUCGCCUCAAGAGGAGCUCGCGUCUGAUUAGCUAGAUGGUGGGGUAAAAGCCUACCAUGGCGACGAUCAGUAGCUGGUCUGAGAGGAUGAGCAGCCACACUGGGACUGAGACACGGCCCAGACUCCUACGGGAGGCAGCAGUGGGGAAUUUUCCGCAAUGGGCGCAAGCCUGACGGAGCAAUACCGCGUGAGGGAGGAAGGCUCUUGGGUUGUAAACCUCAAAACUUAGGGAAGAAAAAAAUGACGGUACCUAAUAUAAGCAUCGGCUAACUCCGUGCCAGCAGCCGCGGUAAUACGGAGGAUGCAAGCGUUAUCCGGAAUCAUUGGGCGUAAAGCGUCCGUAGGUGGCAUUUAAGUCUGCUGUCAAAGACCGAAGCUCAACUUCGGGCCGGCGGUGGAAACUGAAAAGCUAGAGUAUAGUAGGGGUAGAGGGAAUUCCUAGUGUAGCGGUGAAAUGCGUAGAGAUUAGGAAGAACACCAGUGGCGAAGGCGCUCUACUGGGCAUAUACUGACACUGAGGGACGAAAGCUAGGGGAGCGAAAGGGAUUAGAUACCCCUGUAGUCCUAGCGGUAAACGAUGGAUACUAGGUGUUGUCUGUAUCGACCCGGACAGUGCCGAAGCAAACGCGUUAAGUAUCCCGCCUGGGGAGUACGCACGCAAGUGUGAAACUCAAAGGAAUUGACGGGGACCCGCACAAGCGGUGGAGUAUGUGGUUUAAUUCGAUGCAACGCGAAGAACCUUACCAAGGCUUGACAUCCUGCGAAUUUUGGGGAAACUCGAAAGUGCCUUAGGGAACGCAGAGACAGGUGGUGCAUGGCUGUCGUCAGCUCGUGUCGUGAGAUGUUGGGUUAAGUCCCGCAACGAGCGCAACCCUCGUCCUUAGUUGCCAUCAUUAAGUUGGGGACUCUAGGGAGACCGCCGGGGAGAACUCGGAGGAAGGUGGGGAUGACGUCAAGUCAGCAUGCCCCUUACGUCUUGGGCUACACACGUACUACAAUGGUUGAGACAAAGGGAAGCGAAACUGCGAAGUGGAGCGAAUCCUGUCAAACUCAGCCCCAGUUCAGAUUGCAGGCUGAAACUCGCCUGCAUGAAGGAGGAAUCGCUAGUAAUCGCAGGUCAGCAUACUGCGGUGAAUCCGUUCCCGGGUCUUGUACACACCGCCCGUCACACCAUGGAAGUUGGUCAUGCCCGAAGUCGUUACCUUAACCGUUUACGGAGAGGGAUGCCGAAGGUGGGACUAGUGACUGGGGUGAAGUCGUAACAAGGUAGCCGUACCGGAAGGUGUGGCUGGAUCACCUCCUUAAAGGGAGACUUCUUGAGAAGUCAAUCAAGAGUGUAGAAAAUGGCUUUUAAACUAGAGAGAGGGUUCAUGGGCUUGGGCUAUUAGCUCAGGUGGUUAGAGCGCACCCCUGAUAAGGGUGAGGUCCCUGGUUCAAGUCCAGGAUGGCCCAUUACUCACAGGAGUAGAAAGGGGGUAUAGCUCAGUUGGUAGAGCGCCUGCUUUGCAAGCAGGAUGUCAGCGGUUCGAGUCCGCUUAUCUCCAGGAACAAUUCAGCAUCGAAAAAAGAAUGCUGGACAAUUGUUCAGUAAGAACCUUGAAAACUGCAUAAAAAAAGUAGGUAGAAAAGCUGUAGAAAUCACAGACAGUC